GCAGGCGACAAGCUCCCGUUGGAUUCGUUCCCGUACAUGGAGCUGGAGGAGGCCGUGCUCUGGGAAGUCGAUGGCCAAUGGGUCGUUCAAGAAGCAUUUGACUCGGACAUUGGUGCCAACCCCUCUGCUGAGGGUGGUGGUGACAGACAAGGGUGUCGAUGGCCAAGCUGUGAAGGUGGUUGACACCUUCCGUCUUCAGGAGCGACCUGCCUUUGACAAGAAGCAGUUUGUCACUCACAUGAAGCGCUGCAUCAAGAUCCUCGGUGCCAAGCUUGAAUGAGAGGAGCAAGCUCAAGGCCCCUGAGUUGUAUUGACGACUCUCAGCGAUGCAUGCAUGGUGGGAGGGAGGCCCGACCCCGUAAAAUCAGGGCAGCCAACGAGCGGCCAUAUCUUUAUUUUUAGCCCGUGAUUAAUGCCAUGCCAGCCAAUGAGGGAGGAGGAAUUAAUUAUUACUAUAUGUAAUUUGUGCUGCUGUAUCAGAGAGCGGUUAAUUAGGAUCAAUGGGCGCCGCCGCCGAAUAUUAAGGAGGAUUUUGGCCCCAUAUCUUUUUGAGUUUUGGAUGGAAA
This is an RNA transcript of Aegilops tauschii subsp. strangulata, 566 nucleotides long. It is a transcript of the gene named translationally-controlled tumor protein homolog, with no coding region annotated. The record is from RefSeq and is a predicted model, not a curated record. NCBI's taxonomy places the organism in Eukaryota, Viridiplantae, Streptophyta, Magnoliopsida, Poales, Poaceae.